RNAcentral lists this ribosomal RNA (47 nucleotides) under Plagiomnium ellipticum. RNAcentral describes it as "partial 28S ribosomal RNA". Lineage: Eukaryota; Viridiplantae; Streptophyta; Bryopsida; Bryales; Mniaceae. The record is from RNAcentral. RNAcentral also lists the same sequence under 1 other name.
AGACCUCUAAUCGGAAAAGACCACCCGCUGAGUUUAAGCAUAUCAAU